Molecule: long non-coding RNA, 639 nt
Filed under: Brassica napus (rape)
Lineage: Eukaryota; Viridiplantae; Streptophyta; Magnoliopsida; Brassicales; Brassicaceae
Description: long non-coding RNA (BNAP_LNC020805)
Source: RNAcentral
AUAUUCGAUUAAUUAAUACUUAUCAACAAUUAAUCAAAGUCAUAUCCCUCAAGUCAAAUCUGAUUAGGAGUUAGUACCAUAUAUAUGUAUGUUUCCGUUAUUAAGGGAAAAACUGAAAACUUUGUUUAGCACAAAAACUUGUUUCAGUUGAACACAUUGCCGAUUGCUCUACCAUGGAUGAUGAUGGUGAACUCUCCUUGGAAGAAACGUUAAUGUUAAUGUAUGCGGCAGUCGGAGGCAUAUUCCUUUGGCUUAUCUUUUUGAGCCUUAUAGUAUUUUUUCAUGUUCGUCAGUGGCUAUCUCUUGAUAAACCCUCAUAUACUAAUCUGAGAACUGAUGAGGGGACCAGCGACCACGACGUGGACCAGGGUCCAGGGAUCUGAUAUCCUCAAUCGGGUUUGAAGACUUAAUGGUUUGUUCUUUAAUCAUGGGACUAGUUCAAUUUGUUAUUAGUUUUUUUUUUGUAGAAAAAGCAUUUACAAUACUAUUCUUGUCAUCGUCUUUAUAAGUGGAAUGAACUUCUCAAUAUUUUGUUUUCUGCUUCUGUUUUAUUCUACGAGUGAUAUAAACACUUUCAAUGGAAUUUAUUAAUUAUAUUUAUUUAUCAUGCGUUACAAGUUUACCCCGUAAGUGUUCGUG